Molecule: long non-coding RNA, 815 nt
Filed under: Coturnix japonica (Japanese quail)
Lineage: Eukaryota; Metazoa; Chordata; Aves; Galliformes; Phasianidae
Description: lncRNA (ENSCJPG00005007078.1)
Source: RNAcentral
UGGAAGUGGUGGGUGCUGUGAGGCUCCUUACUGUGACUUCACACACUGAACUGCUGAGCUACAGUGCCUCACUGGGAUUUGUGGCAGGGAAAGUGAGGGAAAUAACUACAUUAACUCAUAUUACAUGAGCUACUCUUCCAGGCUUCCUAAUGGAAAAAUAAGAACGCUCAGAAGAAGUAACAGCAAUGCAAAACAAACCUGAGCAAGAUCAGAAUAAUUUCUGUGGAAAUAUAAUGUUUGAAGACUGCAUUGUUUUUAUUGCAGGUGAGCAUCUACAUGGUGUACACUGGUAAAUAUGCAGCUGAUGUAAGUGCCCUCCCUCUACUAGCUCUGCAGCUGCUCCUGGUAACUCUCCCCUGAGCACAUGGUGUAUUGGAACUGUUGAGUAACAGCCAGAAACACUGAUUGAGCACCUGAGGAAAGGACCCAUCAGCCCUGGAAACACAAGUGAAGGUAAUUCACCUGCCUGGCUACACCUCUUUUACCCCCCCUCUCCCCCCCAUUUAAGGGCUGACUGCCAUAGGGGAAGGAUCUUUUUCUGGGGAUUUCCUCUUGGUGAAUUUUUUCCUUGAAAACCUGGGAUCUUCUGAUACACGUGAGUAAACUUCUUCCCUUCCUUUUAGCCCCCUUUCUGUUGUGUUGGUUCUCCCAUCAUCACAUCUCUGUUGUAGUUCCUUUCCCAUUGUAUUCAACUGUCUAAUGGCUACAUGUGGAUAUGGAACUUCUCAUGGGGUUUUACAUUUGAUCCAAAUUCAGGGAGCCUUCACAGGGGUUGAGGAGUGUACAUACAUAACAGAGUGAGAGUGUCAUCGCAG